Culex pipiens pallens (northern house mosquito) is the source of this 1784-nucleotide long non-coding RNA. RefSeq lists it as uncharacterized. NCBI's taxonomy places the organism in Eukaryota, Metazoa, Arthropoda, Insecta, Diptera, Culicidae. The record is from RefSeq and is a predicted model, not a curated record. The transcript has 4 exons.
UCGUGUUGGGCGUGUUGGCUGCAGUUUCGAAUCGAAAUCAAGUUUUACUCGCGUGUGCUUAUGAAAAAUAACCUCCGUCAUCAAAUCCGCCGGGUGAACGAACCGGAACAUCUCCGGGAUGGCGGAUUUUUCUCACAUUUGGUGGGCGUGUGGAGCUGUUCGGUUACGGGACAAAACCCGCAGUGGAAACGCAGACCCGGCGCAUACUGCGGACAUUUCCGGCCACCGUCAAUAAUCCAUUCCGAAUGGAGGCCUCCAAGAUGCCAAGUGCUCGAUCUGGAAAAGCUACGAGGAGUUCGAACAUCUUCGUGUGAGUAUUUGACAUUUUAUUCUAUUGGAAAAGGAUAGAGCCACGGGGCGGAAUCCCACUCCGCAGUAGGCAAGAAAACUGUGACGUAGCAAAUGAGCUCAAAGAACUCAGUGGUUUGAUAGGUGUCGUUUUCACGACUUAACAUUUCUUUUUUGAAUUUGAAUUUGCUUCCGAUUGCGCGAAACGUCAAAACCUGAGUUUUUUUCGGAUAAGUGUGCAUCUGUCCGUGUUCGUGUACGCGCAAUUGACCACGUAGUUGCCUGUUCCUUGUCGUUCCCGUGGCCGUGCUCUAGGCUGUGUCCUUGUCCGAACUCCUGACCGUGUUCGUGUCUGUGCUUCUGGCCGUUUUCGUGUCCCUGGCCGUGUAGGUGCCUGUUCCUGGCCAUUCCCGUGGCCGUGUCCUUGUCGUGCUCCUAACCGUGUUUGUGUCCAUGCGAAACGGAACAACCGGAACAAAAUUUUGAGUCCCGGCACUGACACCUGUCAAAAAAGUUCAUUUGGUUUAUUUAUGUUGUAUUUCGUGAGAGCUAAAUUUAUUUGAUUCUAUCUUGUUCGAGUGUCAGAAGUAGAAUCGUGAAUGAAUGCUUGAAUGAUUGAUGGUUGCUUCGAUUGCUUGAAUGGGUUGCUUCGUUAGUCCAGGGUGUGCAACAAUUUACCUUUGAGAGUCUACUACUUCCAACGCGGAUGCUCGUAGACGUGAAAUGCGGACAUUCCAGUUUGCCAUCAUGGUUCCUUUCUUGGUGGCAACGUUAAUUCCUGAAGCAGCAGGACAUUUGAAGAUGAAGAAGUGGACUCUCGACAAAACGGAGCUUUUGGCCGACAGCUUGAAGCGGAAUUACGAAAGAAAACGUCGGAGGGAGCCCAACGACAGUUUCAACUCGACCGCGGCGGUGAUUAAAGGAAACCCUUCCUGAAUGGCGAGAUGCUGGACGGACGGCGGUGACGAAAAUCCUGACGGGAGUUGUGAGUGAUGAGUAAUAAGAAAAGCUUGGUUUGUUUCUAAUAAAUUGUUUCAUUUUUGAAGUUCAAUUUAAAAAAAAACAGUGUAAAUGAAACUAAAAUAAAAUAAAACAUACUGUUAAUUUAAGGAAAAUACCGUAAAACAUACCAUAAAUAAAAUAAAAGUACAAUAAAACCUGCUGUAGUUAUUAUUUAUUUCAAUGUACGAAUAUAGUUUAAACAGUACUAUUUAGCAGGGAAAAAAUCUUGAAGAACUAUACAUUUACUGUGAAAUCCAUUGUAAAGGUUACUGUAUUUGUUGUAAAUGUAUGAUGUUUUCUAUAGUCAGGGCAAGUUUUUGAAUGAAAAAUGCAACAUUAGAUUAACAGUAAAAUGCGUCGUAUUUGGAAAAAAAAUGUAUGGAAAAAUUUCGAAAUUUUUAUGGUACCGGUGCAUAACAACCCCCCUUUUUUAUGGUAAAGUCCCAAAAUACGACGCAAAUUAUCUUAAAAAACGAUGCUAUCUACUGUUAAAA